RNAcentral lists this long non-coding RNA (211 nucleotides) under Ananas comosus (pineapple). RNAcentral describes it as "long non-coding RNA (ACOM_LNC004526)". Lineage: Eukaryota; Viridiplantae; Streptophyta; Magnoliopsida; Poales; Bromeliaceae. The record is from RNAcentral.
UAACAAGUCUUUGUUUUUUUUUUUUUUUUAAAAAAAGGUAGCACGCUACCCGUAUCGUUUAUUUCAUUUAGAAAUAAACUUAGCUAAAAAUGUGAAACAAUUAGGAUUCGAAUUUGGGUCUCAGGUACCAACCACCAAGCCCUUCACCACUUACUCUAAGGACAGUCGGUAUAACAAGUCUUUGUUAAACUAUAAAUUUGAUGAAAUCAUC